RNAcentral lists this long non-coding RNA (1153 nucleotides) under Capra hircus (goat). Its description in RNAcentral is "lncRNA (ENSCHIG00010003776.1)". Lineage: Eukaryota; Metazoa; Chordata; Mammalia; Artiodactyla; Bovidae. The record is from RNAcentral.
CCCAGGGAUGGGGGAGCCUGGUGGGCUGCCGUCUAUGGGUCACACAGAGUAGGACACAACUGAAGUGACUUAGCAGUAGUUUAUUAGGAACUCAAGAGGAGAUUAAGAAUAGGUUGAGGUCAAAGUCCUUUCCCAAGGACACACCACUUCUACAUGCUAAGCUGGUAUCACAUACAGGUAUGUCUGACACCUAUUUCUGAAAAGCAGAAAGAAGAACAGAAAAAAAAAAAAGAAGAGUAAAAUAUGAAAUAAUUUAGCACUAUUACAAUAGCUUAAAACCAAUGAUUGCUGGAAGGAGUUAAUAUAAGGAAAGCAACAGAGUCCAAUAAAUUCUAAAAGAUGCUCACUGGAGGUCCCAAACUCUUCUCAAAGCAACAGCAACAUUUCAAGGUCCAUUUGAUGUCCCAGAAUUAUAGCUUUGACUUAUAAUAAUGGGCCACCAAAAAAAGAAAACCUAUCACAAUCAAAUACAAUAAUUUUUUCUUCAACUUUUCCCAACCUUAGGUAAUUUGAUUUCCAUUGACAUAGUUAGAAGUUAACCUGACUAGCUCUAUAAAAAUUAAGUAAUUCAAAUACCACUUUACUAUAGAAAGUGGAAUUUACAGAUGUAUUCAGUUCAGUUCAGUCAAAUAAUGUUGAGUAAAGCGUGAUCCAACUUAUAAUCACUAUCAAAUUAAGACCAUUAGUUAGCUGUAUGCCCUCAACUUAAGCAAAAUGUUGAAUGUAUGUAAUUAUUGGGAUAAUUCAAGUCAGUAAAAACAUUUUGAUGCACUUGUAAGCCUUUCUCUAACAUUAUUUAUGUUUGAGAGAUGAUGGCCUGGUUUAACCUAAUGCCUUUGAAUAUUUCCAUCAAGAAAGAAAGCUUGGUCCCCAAAAUCUCUAUAACACGAAGGCCAGUUUACUUCACCCUGGCAUCAAAUAUCACCUUUCACUUUAGAUGGCAGCUGACAGGUGAUAUAGUCUUAGGUGUUUGUGAUUUAUUUGACUAUUUGUAUUAAUUGUGUGUAUAGAGUAUUUCAUGAUUAUUAUUUCAUUUUCCAUUUAUUUUACACCUAUUUCUCCCUAGCAAUAGAUAGUCUUUAGCCCAGGAUCCACUAAUGCAUGUUUUUCACUUAAAAACAAACAAACAAAAAACCUAAGAAGCAAUAUUAAU